UCACUCGGAACCAGGCUGACCCGAGAGC
This 28-nucleotide non-coding RNA is filed under the name Bombyx mori (domestic silkworm). Lineage: Eukaryota; Metazoa; Arthropoda; Insecta; Lepidoptera; Bombycidae. The record is from RNAcentral.